RNAcentral lists this ribosomal RNA (253 nucleotides) under uncultured bacterium. RNAcentral's name for it is "partial 16S ribosomal RNA". It matches the Rfam family "Bacterial small subunit ribosomal RNA", at positions 524 to 776 of the family's 1533-position model. The record is from RNAcentral.
UACGGGGGGAGCAAGCGUUGUCCGGAAUUAUUGGGCGUAAAGAGCUCGUAGGCGGUUUGUCGCGUCUGCUGUGAAAACCCGAGGCUCAACCUCGGGCCUGCAGUGGGUACGGGCAGACUAGAGUGCGGUAGGGGAGAUUGGAAUUCCUGGUGUAGCGGUGGAAUGCGCAGAUAUCAGGAGGAACACCAAUGGCGAAGGCAGAUCUCUGGGCCGUAACUGACGCUGAGGAGCGAAAGCAUGGGGAGCGAACAGG